GCGGGUAUAGUUUUAGUGGGUAAAA
RNAcentral lists this transfer RNA (25 nucleotides) under Araucaria scopulorum. RNAcentral's name for it is "partial tRNA-Gly". Lineage: Eukaryota; Viridiplantae; Streptophyta; Pinopsida; Araucariales; Araucariaceae. The record is from RNAcentral.